GAUGAACGCUGGCGGCGUGCCUAAUACAUGCAAGUCGAGCGAACGGACGAGAAGCUUGCUUCUCUGAUGUUAGCGGCGGACGGGUGAGUAACACGUGGAUAACCUACCUAUAAGACUGGGAUAACUUCGGGAAACCGGAGCUAAUACCGGAUAAUAUUUUGAACCGCAUGGUUCAAAAGUGAAAGACGGUCUUGCUGUCACUUAUAGAUGGAUCCGCGCUGCAUUAGCUAGUUGGUAAGGUAACGGCUUACCAAGGCAACGAUGCAUAGCCGACCUGAGAGGGUGAUCGGCCACACUGGAACUGAGACACGGUCCAGACUCCUACGGGAGUCAGCAGUAGGGAAUCUUCCGCAAUGUGCGAAAGCCUGACGGAGCAACGCCGCGUGAGUGAUGAAGGUCUUCGGAUCGUAAAACUCUGUUAUUAGGGAAGAACAUAUGUGUAAGUAACUGUGCACAUCUUGACGGUACCUAAUCAGAAAGCCACGGCUAACUACGUG
RNAcentral lists this ribosomal RNA (497 nucleotides) under uncultured bacterium. RNAcentral's name for it is "partial 16S ribosomal RNA". It matches the Rfam family "Bacterial small subunit ribosomal RNA", at positions 28 to 507 of the family's 1533-position model. The record is from RNAcentral.